UGGGGAAUAUUGCACAAUGGGCGCAAGCCUGAUGCAGCCAUGCCGCGUGUGUGAAGAAGGCCUUCGGGUUGUAAAGCACUUUCAGCGGGGAGGAAGGCGUUAAGGUUAAUAACCUUGGCGAUUGACGUUACCCGCAGAAGAAGCACCGGCUAACUCCGUGCCAGCAGCCGCGGUAAUACGGAGGGUGCAAGCGUUAAUCGGAAUUACUGGGCGUAAAGCGCACGCAGGCGGUCUGUCAAGUCGGAUGUGAAAUCCCCGGGCUCAACCUGGGAACUGCAUUCGAAACUGGCAGGCUAGAGUCUUGUAGAGGGGGGUAGAAUUCCAGGUGUAGCGGUGAAAUGCGUAGAGAUCUGGAGGAAUACCGGUGGCGAAGGCGGCCCCCUGGACAAAGACUGACGCUCAGGUGCGAAAGCGUGGGGAGCUAACAGG
RNAcentral lists this ribosomal RNA (429 nucleotides) under Chloroflexota bacterium. RNAcentral's name for it is "Chloroflexi bacterium partial 16S ribosomal RNA". It matches the Rfam family "Bacterial small subunit ribosomal RNA", at positions 355 to 776 of the family's 1533-position model. Lineage: Bacteria; Bacillati; Chloroflexota. The record is from RNAcentral.